GAUGAACGCUGGCGGCGUGCUUAACACAUGCCAGUCGAACGAAGCACUUUAUUUGAUUUCCUUCGGGACUGAUUAUUUUGUGACUGAGUGGCGGACGGGUGAGUAACGCGUGGGUAACCUGCCUUGUACAGGGGGAUAACAGUUGGAAACGGCUGCUAAUACCGCAUAAGCGCACAGCAUCGCAUGAUGCAGUGUGAAAAACUCCGGUGGUAUAAGAUGGACCCGCGUUGGAUUAGCUAGUUGGUGAGGUAACGGCCCACCAAGGCGACGAUCCAUAGCCGACCUGAGAGGGUGACCGGCCACAUUGGGACUGAGACACGGCCCAAACUCCUACGGGAGGCAGCAGUGGGGAAUACUGCACAAUGGGCGAAAGCCUGAUGCAGCGACGCCGCGUGAGCGAAGAAGUAUUUCGGUAUGUAAAGCUCUAUCAGCAGGGAAGAUAAUGACGGUACCUGACUAAGAAGCACCGGCUAAAUACGUG
RNAcentral lists this ribosomal RNA (481 nucleotides) under uncultured bacterium. RNAcentral describes it as "partial 16S ribosomal RNA". It matches the Rfam family "Bacterial small subunit ribosomal RNA", at positions 28 to 507 of the family's 1533-position model. The record is from RNAcentral.